UACGGGGGGGGCAAGCGUUGUUCGGAAUUACUGGGCGUAAAGGGCUCGUAGGCGGCCAACUAAGUCGGACGUGAAAUCCCUCGGCUUAACCGGGGAACUGCGUCCGAUACUGGAUGGCUUGAGUUCGGGAGAGGGAUGCGGAAUUCCAGGUGUAGCGGUGAAAUGCGUAGAUAUCUGGAGGAACACCGAUGGCGAAGGCGGCAUCCUGGACCGACACUGACGCUGAGGAGCGAAAGCCAGGGGAGCAAACGGG
RNAcentral lists this ribosomal RNA (253 nucleotides) under uncultured bacterium. RNAcentral describes it as "partial 16S ribosomal RNA". It matches the Rfam family "Bacterial small subunit ribosomal RNA", at positions 524 to 776 of the family's 1533-position model. The record is from RNAcentral.